CCAAUAGCGUAUAUUAAAGUUGUUGCAGUUAAAAAGCUCGUAGUUGAAUUUCAGGCCUGGCUGGACGGUCCGCCCUUCGGGUGAGUACUGUCUGUGGUCGGGUCCUACCUUCUGGCGAAGCGUCAUGGCCUUAACCGGCCGUGGCGGGGAACCAGGACUUUUACUGUGAAAAAAUUAGAGUGUUCAAAGCAGGCAAAUCGCUUGGAUACAUUAGCAUGGA
This 220-nucleotide ribosomal RNA is filed under the name uncultured Paraglomus. Its description in RNAcentral is "partial small subunit ribosomal RNA". It matches the Rfam family "Eukaryotic small subunit ribosomal RNA", at positions 591 to 813 of the family's 1831-position model. Lineage: Eukaryota; Fungi; Glomeromycota; Glomeromycetes; Paraglomerales; Paraglomeraceae. The record is from RNAcentral.